This 253-nucleotide unclassified non-coding RNA is filed under the name uncultured bacterium. RNAcentral's name for it is "contains 16S-23S intergenic spacer region". It matches the Rfam family "Bacterial small subunit ribosomal RNA", at positions 524 to 776 of the family's 1533-position model. The record is from RNAcentral.
GACAGAGGGUGCGAGCGUUAUCCGGAAUCAUUGGGCGUAAAGGGCUUGUAGGAGGAGAGGAAAGUCGGAGGUGAAAUCUCAUGGCCUAACCAUGAACCCGUUUCCGAAACUCCCUUUCUUGAGGGCGGCAGAGGCAAGUAGAAUUCCCGGUGUAGGGGUAAAAUCCGUUGAUAUCGGGAGGAAUACCGAAAGCGAAAGCAGCUUGCUGGGACGUCCCUGACUCUGAAAAGCGAAAGCACGGGGAGCAAACAGG